UACGGGGGGGGCAAGCGUUGUUCGGAAUUACUGGGCGUAAAGGGUUUGUAGGUGGCUUGCUAAGUCAGACGUGAAAUCCCUCAGCUUAACUGGGGAACUGCGUCUGAGACUGGCGAGCUUGAGUGCAGGAGAGGAACGCGGAAUUCCACGUGUAGCGGUGAAAUGCGUAGAGAUGUGGAGGAACACCGAUGGCGAAGGCAGCCUCCUGGGCCAACACUGACGCUCAUGCACGAAAGCGUGGGGAGCAAACAGG
This 253-nucleotide ribosomal RNA is filed under the name uncultured bacterium. Its description in RNAcentral is "partial 16S ribosomal RNA". It matches the Rfam family "Bacterial small subunit ribosomal RNA", at positions 524 to 776 of the family's 1533-position model. The record is from RNAcentral.